UACGGAGGAUGCAAGCGUUAUCCGGAAUGAUUGGGCGUAAAGCGUCCGCAGGUGGCUGUGUAAGUCUGCUGUCAAAGAGCGAAGCUCAACUUCGUAAAGGCAGUGGAAACUACACGGCUAGAGUGCGUUCGGGGCAGAGGGAAUUCCUGGUGUAGCGGUGAAAUGCGUAGAUAUCAUGAGGAACACCAGAGGCGAAGGCGGCUACCUGGACAGUUACUGACGCUCAGGCACGAAAGCGUGGGGAGCAAAAGGG
This 253-nucleotide ribosomal RNA is filed under the name uncultured bacterium. RNAcentral's name for it is "partial 16S ribosomal RNA". It matches the Rfam family "Bacterial small subunit ribosomal RNA", at positions 524 to 776 of the family's 1533-position model. The record is from RNAcentral.